This 464-nucleotide ribosomal RNA is filed under the name uncultured bacterium. RNAcentral's name for it is "partial 16S ribosomal RNA". It matches the Rfam family "Bacterial small subunit ribosomal RNA", at positions 28 to 507 of the family's 1533-position model. The record is from RNAcentral.
GACGAACGCUGGCGGCGUGCUUAACACAUGCAAGUCGAGCGGAAAGGCCCUUUCGGGGGUACUCGAGCGGCGAACGGGUGAGUAACACGUGAGUAAUCUGCCCUUCACUUGGGGAUAACCUCCGGAAACGGUGGCUAAUACCCGAUACGACCAUUCCUCGCAUGAGGUGGUGGUGGAAAGUUUUUCGGUGGGGGAUGUGCUCGCGGCCUAUCAGCUUGUUGGUGGGGUAAUGGCCUACCAAGGCUUCGACGGGUAGCCGGCCUGAGAGGGUGACCGGCCAAACUGGGACUGAGAAACGGCCAGGACUCCUACGGGAGGAAGAAGUGGGGAAAAUUGGAAAAUGGGCGGAAGCCUGAGCCAGCAACGCGGCGUGAGGGAUGACGGCCUUCGGGUUUUAAACCUCUUUCACCUGUGACGAAGUGAAAGUGACGGUAGCAGGAUAAGAAGCACCGGCCAACUACGUG